Molecule: ribosomal RNA, 400 nt
Filed under: Theileria sp.
Lineage: Eukaryota; Apicomplexa; Aconoidasida; Piroplasmida; Theileriidae
Description: SSU rRNA
Rfam family: Eukaryotic small subunit ribosomal RNA
Source: RNAcentral
AUAUUAAAAUUGUUGCAGUUAAAAAGCUCGUAGUUGAAUUUCUGCUGCAUCGCCGCGGCCCCACGGGCCCGGCGUUGCGGCUUAUUUCGGACUUGCGUGCAUCUCCGAAUGUUUACUUUGAGAAAAUUAGAGUGCUCAAAGCAGGCCCUUGCCUUGAAUACUUUAGCAUGGAAUAAUAAAGUAGGACUUUGGUUCUAUUUUGUUGGUUUAGCACCAAAGUAAUGGUUAAUAGGAACAGUUGGGGGCAUUCGUAUUUAACUGUCAGAGGUGAAAUUCUUAGAUUUGUUAAAGACGAACUACUGCGAAAGCAUUUGCCAAGGAUGUUUUCAUUAAUCAAGAACGAAAGUUAGGGGAUCGAAGACGAUCAGAUACCGUCGUAGUCCUAACCAUAAACUAUGCC